Molecule: ribosomal RNA, 948 nt
Filed under: oral metagenome
Description: bacterial SSU rRNA
Rfam family: Bacterial small subunit ribosomal RNA
Source: RNAcentral
AGAGUUUGAUCCUGGCUCAGGAUGAACGCUAGCGACAGGCCUAACACAUGCAAGUCGAGGGGCAGCAUAGAUUGCUUGCAAUCUGAUGGCGACCGGCGCACGGGUGCGUAACGCGUGUACAAUUUACCUUAUACAGGGGGAUAGCCCAGAGAAAUUUGGAUUAAUACCCCAUAGUAUUAUGAUCAGGCAUCUGGUUAUGAUUAAAGAUUUAUCGGUAUAAGAUGAGUACGCGUCCUAUUAGUUAGUUGGUAAGGUAACGGCUUACCAAGGCGAUGAUAGGUAGGGGUCCUGAGAGGGAGAUCCCCCACACUGGUACUGAGACACGGACCAGACUCCUACGGGAGGCAGCAGUGAGGAAUAUUGGACAAUGGUCGGAAGACUGAUCCAGCCAUGUCGCGUGCAGGAAGACGGCCUUAUGGGUUGUAAACUGCUUUUCUACAGGGAGAAACCCCCGGACGCGUUUCGGGUCUGACGGUACUGUAGGAAUAAACACCGGCUAACUCCGUGCCAGCAGCCGCGGUAAUACGGAGGGUGUAAGCGUUAUCCGGAAUCAUUGGGUUUAAAGGGUCCGUAGGCGGGCAGCUAAGUCAGGGGUGAAAUCCCACGGCUCAACCGUGGAACUGCCUUUGAUACUGGUAGUCUUGAGUUAUAGUGAAGUAGAUGGAAUGUGUAGUGUAGCGGUGAAAUGCAUAGAUAUUACACAGAACACCGAUUGCGAAGGCAGUCUACUAACUGUAAACUGACGCUAAUGGACGAAAGCGUGGGGAGCGAACAGGAUUAGAUACCCUGGUAGUCCACGCCGUAAACGAUGGAUACUAGCUGUUGGGGCGUAAGCUUCAGUGGCCAAGCAAAAGUGAUAAGUAUCCCACCUGGGGAGUACGUUCGCAAGAAUGAAACUCAAAGGAAUUGACGGGGGCCCGCACAAGCGGUGGAGCAUGUGGUUUAAUU